RNAcentral lists this transfer RNA (95 nucleotides) under Halodesulfovibrio spirochaetisodalis. Its description in RNAcentral is "tRNA-Ser". It matches the Rfam family "tRNA". Rfam says of the family: Transfer RNA (tRNA) molecules are approximately 80 nucleotides in length. The record is from RNAcentral. Lineage: Bacteria; Pseudomonadati; Thermodesulfobacteriota; Desulfovibrionia; Desulfovibrionales; Desulfovibrionaceae.
GGAGAGGUAGCGAAGUCCGGCCGUAACGCACACGACUCGAAAUCGUGCUUAGGUUUAACCGCCUAACGAGGGUUCGAAUCCCUCUCUCUCCGCCA